RNAcentral lists this transfer RNA (72 nucleotides) under Bos taurus (domestic cattle). It matches the Rfam family "tRNA". Rfam says of the family: Transfer RNA (tRNA) molecules are approximately 80 nucleotides in length. Their secondary structure includes four short double-helical elements and three loops (D, anti-codon, and T loops). Further hydrogen bonds mediate the characteristic L-shaped molecular structure. tRNAs have two regions of fundamental functional importance: the anti-codon, which is responsible for specific mRNA codon recognition, and the 3' end, to which the tRNAs corresponding amino acid is attached (by aminoacyl-tRNA synthetases). tRNAs cope with the degeneracy of the genetic code in two manners: having more than one tRNA (with a specific anti-codon) for a particular amino acid; and 'wobble' base-pairing, i.e. permitting non-standard base-pairing at the 3rd anti-codon position. RNAcentral also lists the same sequence under 4 other names. The record is from Rfam by way of RNAcentral. Lineage: Eukaryota; Metazoa; Chordata; Mammalia; Artiodactyla; Bovidae.
UCCCUGGUAGCUUGGCUGGUAAAGAAUCUGCCUGCAACGCAGGAGACCCCAGUUCGAUUCUUGGAUCGGGAG